This is a long non-coding RNA of Leucoraja erinaceus (little skate), 2632 nucleotides long. RefSeq lists it as uncharacterized. The transcript is spliced from 4 exons. Lineage: Eukaryota; Metazoa; Chordata; Chondrichthyes; Rajiformes; Rajidae. The record is from RefSeq and is a predicted model, not a curated record.
GUCACACGCAAACUUAGCGCGUACUUUGGUGCGUACUUAGCGCGUACUUACCGCGAACUAAGUGUGAACUCCGCUUCUGUUUGGUCGCGCCAAACGCAUGCAAUCGCAUGCAAGUGGGACUGGCCCCUUUACUUAACCUUGCAUGACUGAGCAGAUAUUCAGAAUCAGAAAGAAAGCUGUUCCAUAAUCCCAAAUGAAACCAAUGGAGUCACAAACUCAGGCUGAGGUUUUAAAAGCUACAGAUCUGAGAACAGAUUACACAGUGUAAAUCGUGGAAGGUCCUCUGAAAGACACUAUACCCACCAGCGCUAACAAACUUGAGCAAGCUCCAGGCAAUCUGGCCAUACCAUCCAUUUUGGAAAACUCUACAUUUGCAGACUUGGUUACCUGCAUAAGUUAAGGGUGACUUGAAAUAAAUGUUCAAGGAGAAGGAGAAUAAGGAAAAUAAGCAGAAAGCAGUUUCCUGCAACAGAAAGCCUGUAAAAAGAAGAGCACAGAUUAAAUGUUAAAUCACAAAACACAGAAGCAACAUGAAGAUGAAGAAAAUUAAGUAGUAAGUUGUGAUGAUCUGGAAUACACUUCCUGAAUUGGUAGAGGAAGCAUAUUCAGGAGUCAUUAAAAAAAUGGAGUAUAUAAAAAAGGAGGAAAAUGAAAAUAAAGCAUAUUAGAAGGAAAAUAAACUGGGAAGUGAAACUUGUUGGUUGACUCCUUCAGCAAAUGGUCCAAUUGGCUGUUCUGCUUCUGUGAUAUAAUGGAUCUAUGUAAGAACAGACAAUGUUAUAAUGAAUGAAGGUUAGUUGCACUGUUUUUUACUUCAGACUCAUGAAUUUGUUUAAUCAGCUUUUCUAUUCUUCAAGUGAUGUGAGCACAAAUAUAAUUCAUAAGCUAUUUACAUGAAAAAAGUUUUCUUAGAGGGUUGGACUUGAGAAGUGGAAUUGGUGUUUACUCAUGGUCCCUCCUGCAUGUUUGGUCAGUUUAUUCUUAAUUGCUAACAAAAUCCAAUAUAGAGUUAUAAAUUCAUACACACGAGGCAGACAGAGUUCAAGGGAAGCGUGUAUUGUUUAUUCAAGGGCUCUUUACAUUUUGCUUUUGGAACUUUCUAGACACAGUUGUACAUAUCACAUGCUUAUAAGGCUGACAGACUAAGUAACAAAUCUUGUUCACAAUCAAUAUUACAUAUACCACAAUGCUGAAAGGUCUAGCUCAUCAGAUUUCCCUCACUUAUUUUUUAACGAGUGCAUAAAUACUGAAAAUAGCUUAAUGUGUUUCAAUAGUGAUGAAUUUGCAGUCAGAUUAAGGUGAAACUGUUAGCAAUCCUCGUUAUUUGGAAAAAUGAAGCAUGAGAAGCCAUUUUGGUCAAACAAAAUCUGAAUUUUAUCUUUGAUGAUAAUGGCUGUUUGGCCAAUAGUCUGUCUCGUCCUUUUCUCUCUUUGUUGUUUUUAGUAUGUGUUACAUGUAUGUUUUAGUGUUCUUUAGCUUUGUUUUAUGUGGAGGGUGGGGGUUUGGGGGAAACUUUUUUUAAUCUCUUACCUCGACGGAGAUUAGAUUUUCUUUCCAUAUCAUAUCUCCAUCCGCACUGCGGCCUAACAUCGAGGAGCUGGGUAGACCUCUUGCUGGGUAGAUCUUUGACUUUGUGAGCUCUAACCAGGGGAGCCUGCGGUAUUACCAUUGUGGAGCUGGCGGUCCCUGUCGGGGAUCGACCUUGGAGUUCCAACCGCGGGAGCCUACAGAUUUUAACAUUUGGGAGCUCCAGGCCGCAGGAGCUUCGAAUGUCCCGAUCACGGGAGCUUUGACCGCCCCUACGCGGGGGCUUUGAUCGCUGACUGAGGGAGCUUCGAUCACCCCGACUGCGGAUGGUUCGCCUGCCCCGACCGCAGGAGAAUAAAGAAUGAAGAAGAUUAGACUUUAUUGGCUUCCAUCACAGUGAGGAAUAUGAGCAAUCCCCAUGUUAACUUUUAUGUAGCUGUGUGUCUUUUUUUUUAGUAUGUCUGUAUGGUAAAGUGAGUUUCACUGUACCUACAUUGGUACGUGACAAUAAAAUACCUUUGUCCCUUUGAACCUUUGAUCUUUCACAGAUUUUCAUUAAUUUUGUUGUUGGAAUUUCCAUCCUUUGAUGGAAUUGUUUACCAAGGCCCAGUCUGAUCUAAAAGAUCCCAUGGCACUGUUUGAAGAUCAUCAGCUGAUUUCUCCUGUGGUCCCACUUGACAUUUCUCCCUCAAUCAAAUCUAAAACAGAUUACCUAAUCAUCUAUUUCAUUGCAGAUUCUGUCACCUGCAGGAUGUAAAUUGGCUAUAAAGAUCCCUUAUGCUGAUCAAAGGUGCUACAGUGUAUCAUACAAGCCUUCUUUGCCUAGAACUAUAAAAAAUUACAAAAACAUAUUUCUCCAAAGCAAAUAAAUUUGGGAGCAAUAAAUCCAUGCAUGUUUUCAACCACAUUGCAAUGUUUUAAGUUUUGAUGCAUAUAUGUCAAUUUCUGUCUGUGUCAAUAUUUGAAUCAGAGCUGGUGCAGUGAUACAUACAGAAUCUCUUUCCUGUUCAUGCUUUAGUUUUGCAAAUUGAAGGAGGAUCCAUAUUAAAAGAGACAUUUCAUGUAUAAUUUGAGAAAGUAGCUUAAAUAUUUUAACUUCCAAGCC